AAAUACUGAAAGACCUCCCCUCCGGGGGAGUGAUUUUCAAACCCUUGUGAACAAAACUCUGUUGCUUCGGGGGCGACCCCGCCGUCUCGGCGGUGGUGCUCCCGGUGGCCAUCCAUCAAACUCUGCAUUACCUUGCGUCGGAGUCUUAUAAAGAAUUAAACA
This 162-nucleotide unclassified non-coding RNA is filed under the name Lecanosticta tecunumanii. Its description in RNAcentral is "Internal trancribed spacer region 1". The record is from RNAcentral. Lineage: Eukaryota; Fungi; Ascomycota; Dothideomycetes; Mycosphaerellales; Mycosphaerellaceae.